This 314-nucleotide ribosomal RNA is filed under the name Klebsiella pneumoniae subsp. pneumoniae KPNIH22. RNAcentral describes it as "bacterial SSU rRNA". It matches the Rfam family "Bacterial small subunit ribosomal RNA", at positions 1 to 309 of the family's 1533-position model. Lineage: Bacteria; Pseudomonadati; Pseudomonadota; Gammaproteobacteria; Enterobacterales; Enterobacteriaceae. The record is from RNAcentral.
ACUUAAAUUGAAGAGUUUGAUCAUGGCUCAGAUUGAACGCUGGCGGCAGGCCUAACACAUGCAAGUCGAGCGGUAGCACAGAGAGCUUGCUCUCGGGUGACGAGCGGCGGACGGGUGAGUAAUGUCUGGGAAACUGCCUGAUGGAGGGGGAUAACUACUGGAAACGGUAGCUAAUACCGCAUAAUGUCGCAAGACCAAAGUGGGGGACCUUCGGGCCUCAUGCCAUCAGAUGUGCCCAGAUGGGAUUAGCUAGUAGGUGGGGUAACGGCUCACCUAGGCGACGAUCCCUAGCUGGUCUGAGAGGAUGACCAGCC